UGACGUGGAAGCUAUUCUCUAAGAUUAAGCCAUGCAUGUGUAAAUGAAGUGAAGCCGAUAGGUGGAACAGCGAAAAGCUCAGUAAUACAAUCAUUAUUUAGUCUACGAGGAUGAGGAUAACCUUGAUAAAUUAAGGCUAAAACCAUCGUAGAAUAAGAGAUUGGCCUAUCAGCUAGUAUGUAGGGUAAGGGCCUACGUAGGCGAUGACGGGUAACGGGGAAUUAGGGUUCUAUUCCGGAGAAGGAGGCUGAGAGAUGGCUACUAGGUCUAAGGAGAGCAGCAGGCGCGAAACUUACCCAAUGCUAUAUAGUAGUGAAUAUUUCUAUGUAUUUCCAUAAACAUGGGAAAAUCUAAUUGAAGGGUGUUACAAGCAGCCGCGGUAUUUCCAGCUCCAAGAGUAUCCAUGAGUAUUGCUGCAAUUAAAAAGUUCGUAGUUGGUUAUGUAAUGAAUCUUGAGAUAAGAAUAAAUAUUAUGUAAGCGAAAGCCAUGGAGGGAAAUAGGAUUAAAUAGGGAGGGGUGAAAUCUGCAGAUCUAUUUAGGACUAAUAGAAGCGAAGGCGAUUUUCCAUGUGGUAUUUGACAAUCAAGAACGAAAGCCGGAGUAUCGAAGAUGAUUAGAGACCGUCGUAGUUCCGAGCAGUAAACUAUGUUAUAUUAUUUGUGUUAUUGCGAGUACGUGGUAGCAUGAAUAUAUAGAAAUUAAGAUGAUAUGAACUUUGGGGAUAGUACGAACGCAAGUUUUAAACUUAAAUGAAAUUGACGGAAGGACACACAAGGAGUGGAGUGUGCGGUUUAAUUUGACUCAACGCGGGACAACUUACCAUUUUUAGAAGCAAUGAUGAGUGAUAUGAUCACGAUUUUGCUAUGAGUGGUGCAUGGCCGUUAACAAUGCGUGAUGUGAAUUUCGAUUUAGAUAGCUAUAUAGCUACGAGUAUGUUAAAUCCACCAAUGUGUGAGACCCAUAUACUGAUUGUUAUUAGUAGACAGAUGAUGUAAAUCAUAGGAAGGAGUGGGCGAUAACAGGUCAGUGAUGCCCUUAAAUGAAAUGGGCGACACGCGCACUACAAUAGAAGAUAGAGAUUUUCUUAGGUGUUGGGAUUACUUUAUUGUUAUAUAAGUGUAGGCGAAGUAUGAACAAGGAAUUCCUAGUAAUAUGUAGUGAGUUAACAACGACAUAUGAAUGCGUCCCUGUCCUUUGUACACACCGCCCGUCGUUAUCUCAGAUGGAAAUUAGGGUGAAAUAUUAUAAUAAUAGAGAACUCUAAUAACUAAAUAAGGUAC
RNAcentral lists this ribosomal RNA (1281 nucleotides) under Astathelohania montirivulorum. RNAcentral's name for it is "SSU rRNA". It matches the Rfam family "Microsporidia small subunit ribosomal RNA". Lineage: Eukaryota; Fungi; Microsporidia; Astathelohaniidae. The record is from RNAcentral.